Molecule: ribosomal RNA, 646 nt
Filed under: bacterium JL6-27
Lineage: Bacteria
Description: partial 16S ribosomal RNA
Rfam family: Bacterial small subunit ribosomal RNA
Source: RNAcentral
CCUACGGGAGGCAGCAGUAGGGAAUCUUCCGCAAUGGACGAAAGUCUGACGGAGCAACGCCGCGUGAGCGAUGAAGGCCUUCGGGUCGUAAAGCUCUGUUGUUAGGGAAGAACAAGUAUAAGUUGAAUAAGCUUGUACCUUGACGGUACCUAACCNGAAAGCCACGGCUAACUACNUGCCAGCAGCCGCGGUAAUACGUANGUGGCAAGCGUUAUCCGGAAUUAUUGGGCGUAAAGCGCGCGCANGUGGUUUCUUAAGUCUGAUGUGAAAGCCCACGGCUCNACCGUGGANGGUCAUUGGAAACUGGGAAACUUGAGUGCAGAANANGAAAGUGGAAUUCCAUGUGUAGCGGUGAAAUGCGUAGAGAUAUGGAGGAACNCCAGUGGCGANGGCGACUUUCUGGUCUGCAACUGACACUGAGGCGGGAAAGCGUGGGGAGCAANCAGGAUUAGAUACCNUGGUAGUCCACGCNNUAAACGAUGAGUGCUAAGUGUUAGGGGGUUUCCGCCCNUUAGUGCUGAAGUUAACGCAUUAAGCACUCCGCNNGGGGAGUACGGCCGCAAGGCUGAAACUCAAAGGAAUUGACGGGGGCCCGCACAAGCGGUGGAGCAUGUGGUUUAAUUNGAAGCAACGCGAAGAACCUUAC